RNAcentral lists this ribosomal RNA (297 nucleotides) under Turdus merula (blackbird). RNAcentral describes it as "partial 18S ribosomal RNA". It matches the Rfam family "Eukaryotic small subunit ribosomal RNA", at positions 20 to 309 of the family's 1831-position model. RNAcentral also lists the same sequence under 1 other name. The record is from RNAcentral. Lineage: Eukaryota; Metazoa; Chordata; Aves; Passeriformes; Turdidae.
GUAGCAUAUGCUUGUCUCAAAGCUUAAGCCAUGCAUGUCUAAGUACACACGGGCGGUACAGUGAAACUGCGAAUGGCUCAUUAAAUCAGUUAUGGUUCCUUUGGUCGCUCCUCUCCCGCUCCUUGGAUAACUGUGGUAAUUCUAGAGCUAAUACAUGCCGACGAGCGCCGACCUCCGGGGACGCGUGCAUUUAUCAGACCAAAACCAACCCGGGCCCGCCCGGCAGCUUUGGUGACUCUAGAUAACCUCGAGCCGAUCGCACGCCCCCGCGGCGGCGACGACCCAUUCGAAUGUCUG